This is a long non-coding RNA of Populus euphratica (Euphrates poplar), 1624 nucleotides long. RefSeq lists it as uncharacterized. The record is from RefSeq and is a predicted model, not a curated record. NCBI's taxonomy places the organism in Eukaryota, Viridiplantae, Streptophyta, Magnoliopsida, Malpighiales, Salicaceae. The transcript is spliced from 2 exons.
AUUCUCAGCUUUUUAUAUUUAUAUUUAUGUUAUUGAAAUCUUGUUUCUGCAUCAACUGAAUUUUUAAGCAAACAGAAACAGCUUUUAGACGUGUGCUUGGUAAUGAAAACACAUCAAAUUGGUGUUUUCUUGAGUGUUUUUUUUAAUACAAAAAACUUUUAAAAGCACCUCAAUCGCAACGUCAAAUAGUCCCUUAAAGCUGAGAGGUGGUGUUUUUCACCAUGUAAGAGGUUUUCAGGCGCAUAUGAAAAUCUCGAAGUUCCUAAGGGUUUGGGCGGUUGACUUUUGUUUGGAAAUUCACUUCUUGAAGAGAGGUGGAUUGUUUGAAGCCUCACAAAAAUUAAAAGAAAGUUACUCAAUCCUUUUCUUCCCAAUCUCUCCUGUACAACAAGUUUGUACUUACAAAUAUUUCCAGAAAAUAUAGAUAAAGUGCACAGGGUUGCAGUGGAUUACCUUGAAACAACUGUAUCACUGCUUGUGAGACAUAAUUGAGGAUGUUGCAGUACUACACUAAAAUAUGCUCUUUUGUAAAUCAAGCAUGCUACUAUUUUUAGAUUAUCUAAAAUUUGUCCCUAAGAAAAAUGUUUCUUGGAUGUUAUUUUCUGAAAACAAAUUUCUCAUGAAGUCUGAGGUCGCAAUAGGAGUCGUAAAGUUGCGUCUGGAUCAUACAUCAUGGAAAGAGCGGGCUACACCGUGCCAAGGCUUAUUACGGAGUAAUUCCAGAAGGGAAAUCAGUACAUAUUUGAGAAUUUGCUAUGAUUCUAUUUUUUCUGUUUCUUCCCUAAUUAUCCAAGAAAACGAGCCUUCUCAUUGCUUUAUUUGGUGGAUGCAGUUUGAUUUUUCAAGUUCUAUGCAGUUACCCCACCUUGCCUUUGUAUGCUGUAGUAUCCCAUUGAGUGGAGAUGGGCACCAGGUUCAAGAAAAAGGCAUGUUCGUUGAGGAAGUGCAGUUAGCAUUUGGUUGGGAAGCUCAGGAUGGACCGCGAGGGACCCAAACGACCAUCACGGAGCAUAUAGCCACAGAAUCGGCUCACAGUGCAGGCAAGCUUUCUUCUGCAACCCAAGCGCCUGCAUCUUGAAAUUUGGUUGUUUGGCAAAAAGAAAAAAACAAAGGACGCCCACUUACAUCUCCUAAAGCCUUAAAUAUGAGCAGAUUCAUCAUUCAACCAAACCAUUGUUCAUAACUUCACCUUUUCUGUGAAUAUUAUUUUCACUUUUUUCAGGUAAUUUGCCAUUCAUUGCUGCUCUUUUCAUACCACCUAAAAUCCCCCACAACCUACUGAACCGAAUGCAUUAAUUGUAAAUAAAAGAAAACCAAAGCCUCAAUCAGAUGCAGGUGAUUUUGCAGCCUUAUUUCUUAUUUCUUGCAACAUAUGUGAGACAUUUAGUGGAUAAAUCUCAGAUGGCCAAAGUCAAGCUAAAAAAGAAAUCUAGACGCAUCAAACAUGCUUUAUGACCAAAAAAAAGAAAAAAAAACAAGAAUAACUUUUGAUCUGAUUAUUGAAUCAGACUGAAAUUAAUCUAAAACUUUCUACAAGCCUCGUUCCAUAUAGGAUUGAUCCACUAGCCCCAGGUUAGGAACAAGUCCACAUUAAUGUUUUAGAUUUUACUUUAUUUUCUUAGUU